RNAcentral lists this ribosomal RNA (497 nucleotides) under uncultured bacterium. Its description in RNAcentral is "partial 16S ribosomal RNA". It matches the Rfam family "Bacterial small subunit ribosomal RNA", at positions 28 to 507 of the family's 1533-position model. The record is from RNAcentral.
GAUGAACGCUGGCGGCGUGCCUAAUACAUGCAAGUCGAGCGAACGGACGAGAAGCUUGCUUCUCUGAUGUUAGCGGCGGAAGGGUGAGUAACACGUGGAUAACCUACCUAUAAGACUGGGAUAACUUCGGGCAACCGGAGCUAAUACCGGAUGAUAUUUUGAACCGCAUGGUUCAAAAGUGAAAGACGGUCUUGCUGUCACUUAUAGAUGGAUCCGCGCUGCAUUAGCUAGUUGGUAAGGUAACGGCUUACCAAGGCAACGAUGCAUAGACGACCUGAGAGGGUGAUCGGCCACACUGGAACUGAGACACGGUCCAGACUCCUACGGGAGGCAGCAGUAGGGAAUCUUCCGCAAUGGGCGAAAGCCUGACGGAGCAACGCCGCGUGAGUGAUGAAGGUCUUCGGAUCGUAAAACUCUGUUAUUAGGGAAGAACAUAUGUGUAAGUAACUGUGCACAUCUUGACGGUACCUAAUCAGAAAGCCACGGCUAACUACGUG